AGUUGAUUUCUUGAAAAUAGCCAAUGAGG
RNAcentral lists this non-coding RNA (29 nucleotides) under Mus musculus (house mouse). Lineage: Eukaryota; Metazoa; Chordata; Mammalia; Rodentia; Muridae. The record is from RNAcentral.